GAGUCUGUCAGGUCCAGUUGGUAGACUA
This 28-nucleotide non-coding RNA is filed under the name Rattus norvegicus (Norway rat). Lineage: Eukaryota; Metazoa; Chordata; Mammalia; Rodentia; Muridae. The record is from RNAcentral.